AAAUAUAGUGAUGAUAUUUUACCGCCCCAGGCUUAUAGUUGUGAUUGAUUGGUUUUACUGACACUUU
Small nucleolar RNA from Homarus americanus (American lobster), 67 nucleotides. The record is from RefSeq and is a predicted model, not a curated record. Lineage: Eukaryota; Metazoa; Arthropoda; Malacostraca; Decapoda; Nephropidae.